This is an RNA transcript of Siniperca chuatsi (mandarin fish), 2664 nucleotides long. It is a transcript of the gene named SET and MYND domain containing 1b, with no coding region annotated. The transcript has 11 exons. The record is from RefSeq and is a predicted model, not a curated record. Lineage: Eukaryota; Metazoa; Chordata; Actinopteri; Centrarchiformes; Sinipercidae.
GGAAUGCGCAGUUGUCAUUGAAGAACACAGAGGACAUAGAUUGGUCUACGGGUUCCUCAACCACCCUUACGCUGUAUUUAGCGUCUCUCUACUACUGAAACACUCUUUUCUCAUCUGUUCACCACUUACUCGCUGUUCACCAGCAUCUCAGGAACCAGUGCAGCUACCAUGGAGAACGUGGCAAUAUUUGACUCACCUGGAAAGGGGAGGGGUCUGAAGGCUACCAAGGAGUUUUGGGCUGGAGAUGUAAUUUUUUCUGAGCCUAGUCUUGCAGCUGUUGUGUUUGACAGUCUAGCAGAGCGUAUUUGUCACAGCUGUUUCCGCAGACAAGACAAGCUACAGAGGUGCGGCCAGUGCAAAUUUGCUCAUUAUUGUGACCGAACCUGCCAGCGUGCCGGCUGGGCUGAACACAAGCAAGAAUGUGGUGCCAUCAAAGCUUAUGGCAAAGCGCCGAAUGAGAACAUCCGCUUGGUGGCCCGCAUCAUGUGGCGCCUCGACAAAGAGGGGAGUGUGGUGUCUGACAUGCAGCUGAUCACGCUGGAGGAGCUGGAGGACCACAUUGCUGACAUGCAAGAGGAUGAAUUGAAGGAGUUCAAAGUGGACAUCCACAACUUCCUGGACUACUGGCCCCGUAACAGCAAGCAGCACACGAUUGACGUCAUCUCACAUCUUUUUGGAGUGGUUAACUGUAACGGUUUCACUGUGAGCGACCAGAGGGGCCUUCAGGCAGUAGGAGUUGGUCUUUUCCCAAACUUGUGUCUAGUGAAUCAUGACUGCUGGCCAAACUGCACUGUGAUCCUCAACCAUGGCAAUCAAUCGGCUGUGAAUACUAUGUUUCAUUCUCAACAGAGGAUUGAGCUUCGUUCUCUAGGUAAAAUCGCAGAGGGAGAGGAGCUGACAGUCGCAUAUGUGGACUUCUUGAAUUUGUCAGAGGAGAGACAAAGACUGCUGAAAACACAAUACUUCUUUGACUGCACAUGUGAGCACUGCAAGAACCACAUCAAAGAUGACUUGAAGUUGGGGGGAAAGGAAGAGAACGGAGUCAAGCCUUCAGAGGAACAAGUGAAAGAGGCAACAGAUUAUUGCUUUCAAAUGCUGGAGAAGAUGGACAAGGCUCGAUUGAAUGGUGAAUACCAUGAGGUGGUAAAAAUCUGCAGGGAGUGCAUAGAGAAAACAGAGCCGGUUUUGGCUGACACUCACAUCUACCUGCUGCGGAUGUGGAGCACAUUAAGUGAGGUGCAAGCUUACCUGCAGUACUUUAAUGAUGCUGCAGACUACGCACGCAAAAUGGUGGAGGGAUACGUAAAACUGUACCACCCAAACAAUGCUGCUCUUGGUAUGGCAGCUAUGAGAGCAGGAGUGACUCACUGGCAAGCUGGGGAGAUAGAGGUUGGCCACGGGAUGAUCUGCAAGGCCUAUGCCAUUCUCAUGGUCACCCACGGCCCAACACAUCCCAUCACCAAGGACCUGGAGGCGAUGCGUAUGCAGACAGAGAUGGAGCUGAGGAUGUUCAAGCAGAAUGAGUAUGUUUACCACAGUAUGAGAGAGGCAGCUCUGAAGAACAGACCAAUGACCAUGAUGCACGAACCCAAGUCUGUAGAGGAGGGAAUCAAGAACCUCUUCCACCGGAGGAAGUAAUCACAGGGAUGCAGUCAAGAAAACCAUCCUGUUUACUGUUAACAGCUUUUUGAGUGCUGGUGUUCAUGUCUACACGUUGAGUCACAUGACCAUGUUCUGUUUCACUAACUUUUGUAGUUAUGCUUUAUUAAAAAUUUGUUGAACUACAGAAAUGUACCAUAAUAUAUAUUUUGUAAUAUGCAGUGCAAGCAAGCACCUGUUGCUCAUCAAUACUUCAGCCAGUCUCCCUGAUGUCAGAUCAAUUUUAACCAGGCAGAUCCAGCCCACUUCACAUCCAGCAGAGCUCAGAGACGAUCCACCACCACAGAUAAGGACAGACAGAGCAAUAAAAAAGGUACAAGGUGACUAGAUUAAAGUUAGGUAACCUUAAUGCAGAGGGCAAAAUAGUAUAAGUGUGACAGUAUUUUGAAGUCAAGUCACUUGUGAUCCAUCCAUAGAAAAUGUGUGUAAUGAUCUUAAAAGUCUUUCUCAUUUGAUGUCACACUAAUAUAUGUUGACGUUGCAUGAAUGUGAACCCCAAAGACGGCUGACUGGACAAAAUGUUGAUCAGGUUUCAGUUUGCUGCUUUCUCUCUUCCUUACUUCUCAUUUUCUGUUCCUUCUUUUCAUUCUUUUUUUGUGUUUUCCUCCCUUUUGUCUUUCCUUUUAGCCGAUUCCUUCACAACUUUCCUUCUGUCCUUUGUUCUAACUUUUUACACAUUUUUUCCCUUUUCUUUUUCUAUGUAAAAAUAAUGAAGAGGGAGUUUGUCUUUUUAAAGUUUGCCUGCGAGCAAUGGGGGGCAUAUCAGUGGACUAUUUCCUCCUUAUAUUAUAUAAAACAGGAAAACACAGAUAACAUUUCUACGGGGGAAAAAAAGAAAUAAAAAUUUUACUCAUGCCAAUAAAAUAAUUGUUGAAAACUUUAGAAAAUAACAGUUAAGAUAGGUUGUUUUUGAAUUUAGGUUAACAAGAAAUGUAGGUAGUUUUCCACCACAAUUUCCAUGUUAUGUUCUUUAUGCUGCUGUCAUAAAAGCUUAUUUUAAAUGCA